UACGUAGGGCGCAAGCGUUAUCCGGAAUUACUGGGCGUAAAGCGCACGUAGGCGGCUUUGUAAGUUAGAGGUGAAAGCCCGGGGCUCAACUCCGGAAUUGCCUUUAAGACUGCAUCGCUAGAAUUGUGGAGAGGUAAGUGGAAUUCCGAGUGUAGAGGUGAAAUUCGUAGAUAUUCGGAAGAACACCAGUGGCGAAGGCGACUUACUGGACACAUAUUGACGCUGAGACGCGAAAGCGUGGGGAGCAAACAGG
This 253-nucleotide ribosomal RNA is filed under the name uncultured bacterium. RNAcentral describes it as "partial 16S ribosomal RNA". It matches the Rfam family "Bacterial small subunit ribosomal RNA", at positions 524 to 776 of the family's 1533-position model. The record is from RNAcentral.